RNAcentral lists this ribosomal RNA (403 nucleotides) under uncultured bacterium. Its description in RNAcentral is "bacterial SSU rRNA". It matches the Rfam family "Bacterial small subunit ribosomal RNA", at positions 29 to 417 of the family's 1533-position model. The record is from RNAcentral.
AACGAACGCUGGCGGCGUACUUAACACAUGCAAGUCGGACGAGAAAGGAAGCUUCGGCUUCUGAGUAAAGUGGCGUACGGGUGCGUAACACGUAAGUAAUCUACCUUGGACUCUGGGAUAACUCCCCGAAAGGGGGGCUAAGACUGGAUAGAGACCUGAGGUGCAAGCCUUGGGAGGAAAACAGGCCUCUGUAUUAUGCUUGUGGUUCAGGAUGAGCUUGCGGCCCAUUAGCUAGUGGUGGGGUAAUGGCUCACCAAGGCAACGAUGGGUAGCUGGUCUGAGAGGACGAUCAGCCACACUGGCACUGAGAUACGGGCCAGACUCCUACGGGAGGCAGCAGUGGGGAAUUUUGCGCAAUGGGCGAAAGCCUGACGCAGUAACGCCGCGUGGAGGAUGAAGGCCU